AAGAGUUGCGUAGGUGGCAUAGUAAGCAAAUAGUGAAAGACUGAGGCUCAACCUCUUACACAUUAUUUGAACUGCUAAGCUAGAGCAUGAGAGAGGUAGAUGGAAUUUCUAGUGUAGGAGUGAAAUCCGUAGAUAUUAGAAGGAACACCGAUGGCGUAGGCAGUCUACUGGCUCAUUGCUGACACUAAGGCACGAAAGCGUGGGGAGCGAACGGGAUUAGAUACCCCGGUAGUCCACGCCGUAAACUAUGGAUGCUAGCUGUUAGAAGUAUCGACCCUUCUAGUAGCGAAGCUAACGCGUUAAGCAUCCCGCCUGUGGAGUACGAGCGCAAGCUUAAAACAUAAAGGAAUUGACGGGGACCCGCACAAGCGGUGGAGCGUGUUGUUUAAUUCGACGGUAAGCGAAGAACCUUACCAGGGUUUGACAUCUAGGGAAAGUCUCUGAAAGGAGACCGUGCCUUCGGGAACCCUAAGACAGGUGUUGCAUGGCCGUCGUCAGCUCGUGUCGUGAGAUGUUUGGUUAAGUCCAUCAACGAGCGCAACCCUUAUAGUUAGUUGAAUUUCUCUAGCUAGACUGCCCCGGCAACGGGGAGGAAGGAGGGGAUGAUGUCAGGUCUGUAUUACCCUUACACCCUGGGCCACAAACACGCUACAAUGGCCGGUACAAAGGGCAGCUAAGCCGCGAGGCGGAGCAAAUCCCAUCAAAGCCGGUCUCAGUUCGGAUUGCAGGCUGAAACUCGCCUGCAUGAAGCUGGAAUCGCUAGUAACGGUAGGUCAGCACACUACCGUGAAUACGUUCCCGGGUCUUGUACACACCGCCCGUCAAACCAUGAAAGUCGCCAAUACCCGAAGCGCGAGUUUAUCUCGUUCUAAGGUAGGGGAGAUGAUUGGGGUUAAGUCGUAACAAGGUA
Molecule: ribosomal RNA, 910 nt
Filed under: uncultured bacterium
Lineage: Bacteria
Description: bacterial SSU rRNA
Rfam family: Bacterial small subunit ribosomal RNA
Source: RNAcentral